Helianthus annuus (common sunflower) is the source of this 2367-nucleotide long non-coding RNA. RefSeq lists it as uncharacterized. Lineage: Eukaryota; Viridiplantae; Streptophyta; Magnoliopsida; Asterales; Asteraceae. The record is from RefSeq and is a predicted model, not a curated record. The transcript has 12 exons.
GUUUGAUGAGCAGAUCUAGGGUUUCAUGAGAUCUAUCACAAGCUUUAUCUGGCAACUUGAUGUCGAAGGCACCAAGGGAUCCACAGAUUUGAACAAGGGAUCCACAGAUUUGCUGGAGAAUGGCCGGAAUCAGGUGACUGUCUGUUAGGUUUCGGUUUUCGAUCUGUUAGGGUUCAUCAACCAACUUCAGUUUCUUCAAAAAUUCUGACAAAUGCAUAAUUUUAGAGGAGAUUUAUUUCAUCACCUGGCAGAAAAAAGAUAAAGCACAGGAAAAAACCCUAUAGAAAAAAGUCGGAUGCAUGUGAGUAGCCAUGGAAUAACUGUUCUAUAAUGCUGGUGUCGAUAUAAGUUUCAAUGCGCCUGUAAAGAAGAGCCUGUACAUGAUGAGAGGAAAUCGUUUUUUGUUAAUGUGGAGUGGUUUUUCUUCUCUACAGCCCUACUGGUUUUGACUUUGUAAAAGAACAGUUGUCUUUUCUACAACUCAGCUGCUGCUGCCCAUUUCAGUUUCUUGGUGUGGAUAUUCUCUAAUAUCAUCUGAAUUGCUUCCUGUUGAAUUUCAAGUUGAAAUCCCAUGUCUUGUUCCAAGUGCCAGGUAAUAGCGACGUUUUGAGGAUAGUGUUGGAUUUGCAAAAGGAGGGCAAUUGUGUGAUAAACUGAUGCAACUUGCAUCUGGAUAAAUUGAAAAACAGUACAAAAAACUGAUUUUGAUGGAGGACAAAGAUUUGCAGUGAUGACUUGAGACUGCAUUAGAAAGUUUAUGAGACGAUUCGAUGGAUAGUGUGAACAAGGUUGGUAUACUGGUAUGGGUUGGAACUGGACUGGGUUGUUUUACUCUUUUCUUCUUUGAGCGUUGUGUAUAGACAUGGUGAGGUCAAGCCACUAAAACAGGUGGAACCUUUCAAAGCUGAUAAGCUGAUGGAAUUUUACAAGUCUGAUUUGAAACUGAAGAAAGACUUGCACAUAAUUGAAGAUUUACCCCUUUACCCUAUUAUUUAUGAUCGAAACAGGUAUACUACUUUGAUUUUCAGUAUUUACGGUCCCACUGUAUACUACUUUGAUUUUCAGUAUUUUAGACCAACUUGACUGGACCUGACCUGACCCAACCCGAAACCGGUUCCGACCCAGACCUGUUUUGACCCGAACCCAAGAUUUUAGUAUUUUAUGUCAAGGUUUAAACUUAAAGUUAUACUCUUUCAUUUAUAUGUCAAGGUUUUAAUAUUUUUUAUUGGGUUUAUAAACUAACUUUAAGAGUACAUAAAUACAUAUUCAAUGAAACUAGCUUGACUUUUUACUUCAUUCUUAUUACAGGAUACAUUUUAAUAGAUUAUUGUUUUACAACGUAUAUCGGCCAACAUAAAAAAAAACUGAUCCGUUCCGACCCAGACCCGUUCCGACCCAAACCUGUUUCGACCCAAAGCAAAAAACCCUUUUUUUAUAAUUAACCCGUUUUAACCCGACCCAUUUUGACCCAUGACCCAACCCGACCCAACCCUUUGUUUAUGAUUGCAGCUCAACUCUCAAAGUUCAGUUGCUUCACCUAAAGGUGCAGGCCUUAUUGCUGCCACAUUAGAACAGCAAAACGCAAGUUCAAUACUCAUACCAAUGGGUUCGAAAGAUACUGAUGAAUCUUAGCAACAUCAAAAUCAGUUGGAUGAUUCUGUCACAAGUAAUGUGCUUGACAAAAAUACCGCCAAUGAGGAUGUUUCAAAGGUGUCAUACACAACAGAUACUCAUGGUAGUGACUGUCGGUGGCGGAGACAAACUUUGGAUGCGAGACCAUGACCACAUAGCUUAAGUCAGCAAGAGUUUUGCAAGCCCCAGUGCUGCAAAAAGUGGUGACGACAGUGGUAGUGCUUCAGCCUACUGUUGGUCGAGCUUUUGGCAUCAAAUCUGCAGGUUCAAGUACGCUACGUGGUUUGUUGUUCAAUACUGCUGAUAUGUUCUGUACGGUGAUUUUUGAGCCAGAAAUGGGCCAGAGUGCUUGUUGCAAUUAAGUAUAGUGAGAGGGGAAAAGACGAACUGGAGGGAUUCGGGUAUACCAUUUUUACCCUGCUGAAUCACGUGACGGCGGUGACAAAUGAGAUCUAGGAUUCAGCGGCUUCAUUUUUUCCUAAUAACUUCGAGAUGGGGGGGGGGGGGGGUAAAUGCAGACGUUGAUGGGUAUGCUCUUACAGUUCUAAGUGUUCUCUCGAUCGUAACACUUUUGAUCUUCGUCACCAUCUAAAGUUAAGAGUUUCUGUCAAAAUAUAUAUGUAAUGAUCGAUAUUCACUUGUUUUUUUGGGAUAUCCUGUAAUUGUUACCAUAGAACACUGUUUUACCACUUCCUGGGUGCUCAUCCCAAUCCGUAAUAUCAAGCAUUAAACAAA